AAUUAAAAUUUUCAUUCGUUUUUACUAUUAAAAUCUGAAGAGGCUGGUAGAAUUAUAACCAGACAGCUAUACAGGGUAUGGCACGUGUAUUUCAUAUUUACAUACAUUAACCAUUUGAACAGUAGAAAUGGAUGAAAUUUUGAAAC
Molecule: non-coding RNA, 146 nt
Organism: Gossypium raimondii (Peruvian cotton)
Lineage: Eukaryota; Viridiplantae; Streptophyta; Magnoliopsida; Malvales; Malvaceae
Source: Rfam